ACAUGUCUUUAAGAGUUUAAUUUAAAGUCUGAUCUGCUCCAUGAUAUUAAUUAAAUAGCUGCAGUAAUUUGACUGUACAAAGGUAGCAUAAUCAAUAGUUUUUUAAUUAAAAGCUAGAAUGAAUGAUUUGAUAAGGUAAAUUUUGUCUCAAAUUUAAUAGAAUUAGAAUUUUUAUUUUAGUAAAAAUACUGAAGUUUGUUUAAAAGACGAGAAGACCCUAUAGAUUUUUAUAUUUAAUUUUUAUUAAUUUAAAAUUUAAUAAAAAUUAUUAAAUAAUUUAAGUAUUUGAUUGGGGUAAUUUUUAAAUUAAAAAAAUUUUAAUUAAUAUUUAACAAUAAUAAUUGAAAUAAUGAUCUUUAGUAUUAAGAUUAAAAGAAUAAAAUACCUUAGGGAUAACAGCGUAAUUUUUUUAGAGAGAUCAUAUUAAUAAAAAAGUUUGCGACCUCGAUGUUGAAUUAAGAUUAAAUUUUAAUGUAGAAGUUAAAA
RNAcentral lists this ribosomal RNA (486 nucleotides) under Dinocryptus niger. Its description in RNAcentral is "partial 16S large subunit ribosomal RNA". Lineage: Eukaryota; Metazoa; Arthropoda; Insecta; Hymenoptera; Ichneumonidae. The record is from RNAcentral.